UUUUCGAAUGUAUCCUGCUCUGUCGCUGUCAGUGUUUUUCACUGCGUGAGAACAUGAUGUGUGGUAUGAGAGCACCAUGGCUUGACGGACGUAGCAACAGUAACUAAGGGGGGGGGGGUCUUUGUGAAGGAUCAGUUUCAUUGUAAUAUGCUUGAACUGCUCUGUCGUGCCGAUAAUGUAGUAAGUAUGGAGGGAAGAGAUGUUGAAUAUUUGAUCGCCAACAAAUUUACAAAGCUCCCUUUUGAGCAGCAGAUAAAAAUAAAAACUGAAGGACGACCCACGCCGAAGCUGGAAAUAAAACAGUCUUAAUUGUUGACGGCUGAACGCGCUGUUUUAGAACAGAAUUAUUAUUAUUUUGCAAAGCGUUAGCCAGUGGCUAAUGUUAAUAGAUGAUAAAUACGCCUUGAAGAAUCGAAGGAGAUGGGUGUAUUCUACCACAGAGUCAUAGACACCUUCGCUGCUAAAAAGGACAGGAGGAUGGAUUCAUUCUUCAAGUAACAGCUGUUUGGACUCUCAUUCUGACGGCACCCAUUCACUGCAGAGCAUCCAUUGCUGAGACACUGAUGCAGUGCUACAUUUCUACAAACCUGAUGAAGAAACACACUCAACUACAUCUGGGAUGAUCUGAGAGUGAGCACAUUUCCAGCUAAUGCUCAUUUUUGGGCGAACUAUUCCUUUAAAGUGCAUGAAGUAAGAGUCUGGUUACCUAACCACCAUCACUUUACAAACAUGACAUUCUCUUAGCAGCAGGAAAUCUCUUCUCAGCUCUUCUAAAUUCCUGUGGCAUGUCUGUCUAGUUUUUCUCAUAUGGGUUUUGGGAUGGUCCGGGCCAUUACUGAGUGCUCCUUGUGAGUGUUUCCAUGUUUAAUUAUUCUUGCACAACAUUUGAUGAGUCUUAGAUCAUUAUCUUGAUGAAUGUUACAUCAGGACUAGAAAAGGUAUUUGUGCAUACCAUGAACUUCUGCUGAUCAGAAAUGAUCACUGUUGUUUUCCCCUUAACUUGAAAUAUUUAGCUUGAAGAGGCCAAGUGUACUCUUUUAAAAAUAAAGGUUGCUUCAGUGUUGAUGGCUCCAUGAAGAUCCAGCAGCAUCAGUGGAACCGUUCCAUUCCACCAAAGCUUCUUUAGAUUAUAAACUGUUUACUGAAAGGUUUGUUGGGGAACCCACACUGGUUUUUGGAAACCCGC
This is a long non-coding RNA of Cyprinus carpio carpio, 1186 nucleotides long. Lineage: Eukaryota; Metazoa; Chordata; Actinopteri; Cypriniformes; Cyprinidae. The record is from Ensembl.